UACGGAGGGUGCGAGCGUUAAUCGGAAUUACUGGGCGUAAAGGGCGCGUAGGCGGUGAAGUCAGUCGGGUGUGAAAGCCCCGGGCUCAACCUGGGAACGGCAUCCGAUACUGCUUCGCUAGAGUAUGGUAGAGGGAAGCGGAAUUCCGGGUGUAGCGGUGAAAUGCGUAGAUAUCCGGAGGAACACCAGUGGCGAAGGCGGGAUCCUGGGCCGUUGCUGACGCUGAGGCGCGAAAGCUGGGGGAGCGAACAGGAUUAGAUACCCCGGUAGU
Molecule: ribosomal RNA, 271 nt
Filed under: uncultured bacterium
Lineage: Bacteria
Description: partial 16S ribosomal RNA
Rfam family: Bacterial small subunit ribosomal RNA
Source: RNAcentral